GAUGAACGCUGGCGGCGUGCCUAAUACAUGCAAGUCGAACGAGAUCUUCGGAUCUAGUGGCGAACGGGUGAGUAACGCGUUGGUACCUACCCUGAAGUGGGGAAUAACUGGCCGAAAGGUCGGCUAAUACCGCAUAAUACCGCAAGGUUAAAGUCGUAAGACGCUUCGGGAGGGGCCUGCGUCCCAUUAGCUAGUUGGUGAGGUAACUGCUCACCAAGGCGACGAUGGGUAGCUGGAUCGAGAGGUUGACCAGCUACACUGGGACUGAGAUACGGCCCAGCCUCCUACGGGAGGCAGCAGUAAGGAAUCUUCCACAAUGGGCGAAAGCCUGAUGGAGCAACGCCGCGUGCAGGAUGACGGUCUUCGGAUUGUAAACUGCUUUUAUAUGGGAAGAUUAUGACGGUACCAUAUGAAUAAGCACCGGCUAGCUACGUGCCAGCAGCCGCCGUAA
RNAcentral lists this ribosomal RNA (451 nucleotides) under uncultured bacterium. RNAcentral's name for it is "partial 16S ribosomal RNA". It matches the Rfam family "Bacterial small subunit ribosomal RNA", at positions 28 to 523 of the family's 1533-position model. The record is from RNAcentral.